RNAcentral lists this transfer RNA (73 nucleotides) under Bos taurus (domestic cattle). It matches the Rfam family "tRNA". Rfam says of the family: Transfer RNA (tRNA) molecules are approximately 80 nucleotides in length. The record is from Rfam by way of RNAcentral. RNAcentral also lists the same sequence under 1 other name. Lineage: Eukaryota; Metazoa; Chordata; Mammalia; Artiodactyla; Bovidae.
UCCCUGGUGGCCCAGUGGUUAGGACUCUGUGCUUCCACUUCAGGGAGCCCAGGUUCGAUCCCUGCUUAGAGAA